RNAcentral lists this non-coding RNA (21 nucleotides) under Arabidopsis thaliana (thale cress). The record is from RNAcentral. Lineage: Eukaryota; Viridiplantae; Streptophyta; Magnoliopsida; Brassicales; Brassicaceae.
UUUGGGUCCGAAUAGUAACAU